GUGGGAAGGGCCCCACGCGUGUCGCGGGGAAAGGGGCCGGGACGCGGCAGGCCGGGCCCGCGGGGCAGCGCGCAACUUCCGCGGGGCGCGCAGGGAAGCGGCGGCCGCUCCCCGGGGGGGGCUCGGCGCAGCGCGGAGCUUCACCCACUUGAAACCCCCUCUUCGUGCGCUCUUUUAAGCUCGGCGGGCCCGGGCAGGAUGUUUAUACUGCGCAAUGUAAACACGGGCUCGGGGGUGCUUUAAUAAAAAGAAAUCGGCGAAAAGUCCCCGCUGCCGCGCGAAAUGCCCUUCCCUGCCUCCGCCGCCGGUCCCGGGAUGGGAACGGGCUUCGGCCCCCUCGCCCUCUCCGAGGUUUCUUUAGGGCUGGGUUGUUUUGGGUUGUUUUUCUCUCUCUCUCUUUUUUUUUUUUUUUUUUUUGGAGGGGGGGUGUUGUAUAUAAAUCUGUGCUGAACGUUUGCUGUUGAAUGCCAGGAGCCUGAUGCUCAGCUCCGUCGGAUGCCCCAGGCACACACACACACAUGCGAGGGGUGUGGGGGGGAAGGAGAAUGGGAAGGAAUAGUCCUCAGCCCCCCUUUUCUCCUCCUACCCCUUCCAAAAAAAAAAAAAAAAUAGCCCCUGUGAGCAUCUUCCCAUCGGGAGAGCUGUCACUCGCUCAUCAAGGUUUCUGGCCAGCAACUCCAGCGACUGCCACAGCCACGCUGCUCAUUUGGGGAUGUCGUGCACCGAGCUUCGAUCGGGUGCCAGCCAUGUGGGGUGGAGGAAGCCCACCCCUACCCCACUGCGGGUGGAGACAGGAAAGCCCUCACACUGGGAGAAAUAAACUCUGUUCUUUGACCAAAUGCUGUAUCUCUCAGAUCAUUUAUUUCACACCAUCUCCGCUGGCCUACUUGUAGUAGUUCAGCUCCUAGACUGGCCUCAGCACUAGGUAGGAAUUAUUAUUACCACCUGCUUGCCAAAGAGGAAACUUGGAGAAGGUGCAAUCAUGGUCUGGAAAUACUUUUGCAAUUAAAUACUUGAAAAUUUUGCAGAGAAAUCUUGCGUAGGAAAUGUAUGUCAUGCAGACUGUGUUGUCUCCACAGCAAGUACAGCACGUCACACCUGGCAGGUAAAGCCCACUGGUAUGUGAUGCCCAGCCACAUCAAUACCUACAAUUUAUCUUGUGCUCGUGUGUCU
Molecule: long non-coding RNA, 1173 nt
Filed under: Anas zonorhyncha (Eastern spot-billed duck)
Lineage: Eukaryota; Metazoa; Chordata; Aves; Anseriformes; Anatidae
Description: lncRNA (ENSAZOG00000013498.1)
Source: RNAcentral